AAGCGUUACUCGACAUGCACACGAUCGAGUGGGACGAUCGAGUGAGAAGCAAGGAUGCGUUGCAGGAACAUAUUUCACUCGAUUGACAUGACCGAGUAGGAUGAUCGAGUAGGCAGCAGAGAUACAUUUUAAUUACGUCGGCGAUCGAGUGAGCAGCAGACGUAUACGAUCGAGUAGCUGAUCGAGCAGAAGGGAAGCGAAGCAGAACCACCUGUCACUCGAUGCACUCAUUCGAGUGACAUGAUCGAGCAAAGCAAAGAAGUAGCUGAUGGUUUCAC
Molecule: long non-coding RNA, 278 nt
Filed under: Capsella rubella
Lineage: Eukaryota; Viridiplantae; Streptophyta; Magnoliopsida; Brassicales; Brassicaceae
Description: long non-coding RNA (CRUB_LNC000106)
Source: RNAcentral